CCUGACCUUCAGUCCAGGGCUGAGUCAGCGGAGCCCCGAGUGGCUUCCCUGGCUGGCACCUGGACGUAGGCUAUUUCCGU
This is a microRNA precursor of Meriones unguiculatus (Mongolian gerbil), 80 nucleotides long. Lineage: Eukaryota; Metazoa; Chordata; Mammalia; Rodentia; Muridae. The record is from Ensembl.